Molecule: long non-coding RNA, 4293 nt
Organism: Nannospalax galili (Upper Galilee mountains blind mole rat)
Lineage: Eukaryota; Metazoa; Chordata; Mammalia; Rodentia; Spalacidae
Exons: 9
Source: RefSeq, a predicted model, not a curated record
CCCACAUUCCCUCCUACCGACAUGCACCUUGAAGUAUCCCUGCGCCACCCAGUGGUUCUCAUGCUCCUUGUCUGAAAAGUACCAGCUGGAUACCAGAGGUGGUGUCAUGCUAGGUAUCACCAGGAACCAGAGAGGAUGCUCUUGGGAUACUUGAAGAGGAAGGAGACAUGAGAGACUUCCUGUGACCCAGAACCAGAGUCUGGGCUGUGAAGUUAUGGAAGAAGCCUGGGGUCUUCUGGAUGGUGUGAGGAGAGCUUGUGGGACCUGGCUGCUGAAAUCACUGGAGCAGGGAAAGACAGAGGGACAAGACGCCAUGAUAGUAGGGAGGCAUGACAGCAAACAGCAGGAGCCAGAGGAUGGGCUGUCACAUCUUCAACCACAAACACAAAGCAGAGAAUGAACUGGAUGUCGGGAGAAGGUUCUGAGGCCCUCCAGAAGGACAAAGCAGCAUACUUAGUGCAGAAGUUGCCUAUGCCUGACUCUUUAUCCUUUGUGGCGUAUAUCCCAUUCAAAUCCCAUGCUGAUCCAAAGGAAUGGACCUAGAAAAACCAGACAGAGUGUCUUACUGGGCUGUCAAGAAGAAUGACGUGUCAGGCCUGUGGAGCAGUUCCUGCAGUGGGGCAGGGUCAUUGCAGUCACUGCAGUGGAUGAGAAGAUGCUGCCAUGGUUGGGGCCACUGCACCAGACCAGAUCUCUGAUCCUGAGCCUUACAGGCCUCUCAGGUGACAAAAACGUAUAUGCCAGUUUGGGGGUGAGGAGCAAUGAGCUCAGAGGUAAGAGCCACAUGGACGUGUGGGUAGAUGCUGGUCGUUUGAGUGGCAGAAUCAAAAGAGAGAACAGGAAUGAACGAAAUGUUCAGGUACAGACAUCUAGGUGCACCUGAACUACCAAGGAAUGUACUAUGGUUCACCUGAGCUCCCAGUGAGACUCCCCUGUGCACAUGCAACCCAGAUUUGAUGUCCGUGGCACACUUGAAUUCCAGGUAAGAAAUAUUUGCCUGAGUGCAUGGGUGAGAAGGUCUAGUUCACCUACACUCCUAAGUACCUGUCUACCUGAACUCCUAAGGGAACUUUCUAGAGUACCUACACUUCAGGAUGAGACUCACUAUUGCACCUGUACAAUGAGAUGAGCCUUUCUGUUGCAAGUACACUUCCAGGUGUGUACCUCUGCCCACCUAGGUGAGUCUCCUUGGUGCAUCUGACCUCUCCUAUGGGACUCUCAUAUGCUCUUGCUUCCCAGGUGAAAAUCUCUGGUGCUCUUUCAAUCCCAGCUGGAACACCUGGUGCCCUUUAACUCCCAAGUGAGACUUCAUAAUGUGAACCUAUUUCAAAGUGAGUCCCUGGUACAGUUGCACUCCCAACUGAAUUUCUCUGGUACACAGGCUCUUACAGGAAUUGAGCCAUUUCUAGAUGCUUCUCAGUAACGCAGUAGCUCCUCCCGGUGUGAUCCUCUGGUGACGCUGAACUUCCAGGUGAGACUACCUGCUGCUCCUGCAAUUCCAGGUGUGAUUCUCUAAUGUACUUGAACUUCCUGGCAUGCCUGUAUUUUCAGAUAUGACAGACUUGUAUAACUUUUCUCAGAUAUGUGUUAGUCAAGUUCAUCCACACUUGUGGAAUAGACACUGCUGUAACAGUGCUUCCAGGUCAACCCUUCUAAGUGCCCCACCCCCUUGUCUUCCAGGUGAGUGUAUGUGGUGCAGGUGAGCUUCCUCCUGAGACAUCUGGGUUCAUGUUCACUUGCAGGUGAGUCACCCUGGCAGAUCUGAACAGUCAAAGCAGUCCCAGGGGUAUAUUUCAACUCCAAGAGUGGGUUUCCUGGAAUCUGUAAACUAGCAGAAAGGACUCUGGUCCUCUGCUCCUUCCUUGAAUGUGGGACUAUCCUGUAUACUUGAAUGCACAGCCAAGACUCUGCUGCACCUGCCCUUCCACAUGAGUCUCCACUGUGCACCUUCCCAUGGAGUCAGGCUCUGCUGCAACUGUUCCUCAAAUUCUUGAUCCUGUUUGUGACUGCACCUCUGGGUGGGCCUUCUGGUGCAGCUCUGCUCCAAGUUGAGUCUCCCUGCUGCCCCUGCAUCCACCAGGGGAAUCUACCUUGUACAACUGCACUUCCUGAUAUAAGACCCUGAUACAUUUUCCAGCCCCCAGGUGAGUGUUUCUGAUACAGCUGCACUUCCAGAUGACCUUCCCUCAUCCAUGUGUUCUUCCAUGGGAGACGUGGAGCACCCACAUUUCUUGGUGCAACCAAAAUUUCAAGCAAUGUAUUUGGUGCAACUACAUUCCCUCAUGAGAAGAACUCACUCUCCUGCUAUCUGAGGUAAAGUCUUCCCAAUGCACCUUCCUUUUCAGAUGAGUUCCUGUUGUCCCUAGACUUCAAGGUCAGACUCUGUGGUGCACUGACCUUGUGAGGUAGGGCCAUCAACCUGCACCUGAACUUCCAGGUGAGACUUCCUUUUACAUGUGUGCUUCUAGAUUAGUCCCUAAUGCAAUUUUCUUUGCAGGUGGAAUUCCUUGAGCAAGUAAACUCUGAGGUGAGACUUCUUUGUGAAAAACUACUCCAUAGUGAGACUCUGUUCCACCUGUACUCUGAUGAGACAUACUUCUGCAACUGCAUUCCCAUGACAGUCUCCCUCUUGACUUUCCAUGUGAUCAAUCCGAUUCACCUGCACUUUCAGGUGUACUAUUUGGUCCACCUGGACUCCCAUAUGAGGCUCUGUGUCACACCUGCGCAAUCAGGUUGUGGUUAUGUGCACAACAAAGUGCUUCCCCAGUCCACCUGCAAUUUAAGGUGAAUUCCGAUGUUACACUUGCACUUCCAGCUAAGUGUCAGCACUGCGCUUGCAAAUCCACGUCUGCCUACAUUGUGCACAUGCAUUUACAAAUGAGGUGAAAUUCUUUUUUGCACUUGUUUUCCAAGGGGCAGUUUCCCUCAGGUGUGACUCUGAUCGUCUCCAUUUCAGGUGAGAUCUCUUAGUGCACUUGCAUUCCCAAGUAGGACUUCCAGGGAGACCUGCACUGCACUUCCAGGCUGGUCUCCAGACCAGCACAACCCAGUCUUAUCUGGACUUCUAGCUGUAUUUCCCAGAUGUACUGUCCCUUCAGGUGCAUUUUCCUAUUGUGGCCUCAGAGCUAGGUAAGAUGCUUUUGUACCUCCACUGCAAGAUGAAUCCAUGCAGAUCUUCACUUGCAGCAGAGUCCACUCUGUAGCUGCACUUCAUGUUGAGACUUUGGGCUACAGCUGCAGAUUCAGGACAGACUGUGGUUCAUGUGCACUUCCAGGUAUAUUCCCUGGAUAUCCUACACUUCCGGUUAGGCAUCCUAACUGCACACCGAUGUAAGACACUGUGAUACAUCUGAACUACCAUGUGAGAUUUUAUUGGACAUCUUCAUUUCCAGAUGAAUCUCAUUGCCACAUCACUUUCAGGAGAGGGUCAGUCAUGCACCUGCUUUCCAUGUUUACAUCCCUGGUACAGCUGCAUUCUAUGGUAAUCUGGUAGCCCUGAUCUUCCGUUUUAGAUCCUCUGAAGUACCUGUCUUCCUUCAUAUAUCUCCCUAUGGCUCCUGCACUUCCAAGUGAAACACCCUGGCACAUCUGCUCUCACUGUCAUGGUGUACCAGAAUGUCUAGGGGACACCUAGGGGAGACGCUCUUGGAUAUAUGCAUGCCAGGUCAGAUUCUGUGGAGGACCUGCACUUCUACAUGUAUCUCCUUGGUACACUUGCCCCCAAAAUUAUGUUGUGUGAUAUGCUUUCAUACUCAUCAUGUUUGAUCACUUGUGUCAUUUGAAUGCCUUUGGUGCACAAGAAUGCCCAGCUGAGCCUCUCUUUGCCCUGGAGUUUAAUAUGCAACCUUCAGAGGAACCUGCAAUUCCAGAUGAGUUCCUGUGAUGCACCUGCAGUCCCAUGUAAGCUUCUGUGGCACAUUUGUACUUCCAGUAUAGUAUCCCUACAGAAGAUGGAGGUACAGAAAUUUUGAAGCUCUGUUCCACAAAGCUUAUGGAAGGCCACUCUUCUGAGCUAAGCUCUUACAGGAGAACCCAGCAGACCAGGACAAAUCAGAAGAAAAUAGCUCUGCAAAACUAAACACUGAAAAGUUCCCAUUUUCCAAAAAUCAGAGGGAUACAGCCAAGGAUAUAAGGAAGUCCCUCUGCUUUAUCUUAACAAGGAAAGUCAUUUCAAGUUCAUAAUCUGCAGAUGUUGAUUUUAAGCUUUAUUGCAUUGUGGUCUGGUAGAAUGCAUGGAAUUAUUUCAGUCUUUUUGUAAUUGUUGAGGUUUUUUGUGCCCCAGUAUAUGGUCGA